RNAcentral lists this ribosomal RNA (253 nucleotides) under uncultured bacterium. Its description in RNAcentral is "partial 16S ribosomal RNA". It matches the Rfam family "Bacterial small subunit ribosomal RNA", at positions 524 to 776 of the family's 1533-position model. The record is from RNAcentral.
UACGUAGGUGGCGAGCGUUGUCCGGAUUUACUGGGCGUAAAGGGCGCGUAGGCGGACUUUUAAGUGAGAUGUGAAAUACCCGGGCUCAACUUGGGUGCUGCAUUUCAAACUGGAAGUCUAGAGUGCAGGAGAGGAGAAUGGAAUUCCUAGUGUAGCGGUGAAAUGCGUAGAGAUUAGGAAGAACACCAGUGGCGAAGGCGAUUCUCUGGACUGUAACUGACGCUGAGGCUCGAAAGCGUGGGGAGCAAACAGG